UUUCUUUUCUUAUUUAUGUAUCUAAAUAUGUUUUGUCCCCUUUUUUUUUACUGACUGUGCUAUUUUCUCUUCUGUGUGUGAUUUGGAAGCUCUUAUAACUUGCUUAGCCUCUUUCUGCCUAACCUUUAGAUCUGUCUAUCUUCCUCACUCUGGGUUUAUUUGUAAUUACUAAAAGCUAACUUUUAGUUUCUUACUAUUUUGGCCACAUCUGCAGAGUACCACAUUGGUUUCUUAAAUUUUUUUCUUUACUGACAAGCCUAAUACAAUUUUCUGUUGUGUUCAGCAGUGAAACUUUUAAAUAAUCCCAUUUCUCUUGGACUCCAUUUAAACUGCUCGAGUCUGAUAAUGACUCUUUUACACAUAAAAGUCUGCAUUUAGAAUAACAAAGCAUCAUGGAAGUAGUAGUGUUAGAUCAUCUGGGGAUCUACCUUUUGGCACCCCUGCUUUGGACACCCCUCUUCUAAGCAGGGCUAUGAAAAAAACUAAAAACUAAAACAGAAGCACAAACAUUGGAUGAUACCAUAAAACACUUAGCACUUAGCAAAGUUGCUUACAAGAUAUCCGAAUUGUAAACGUGCAUUACGGCAAGUGCUGUAUUCUUUUAUCUUUUAUCUUUUGUUCUUUUAUCUUUUAUUAUUGUAUCUUUUAUUCUUUUACCCUCCUAUACAGCAGGAACUGAUGAUUAGUCCAAUGUAAAUUCAAAUUAAAAAUUAAGUAUUAUUUAUUCUGAUUGCCAAAUGCAUUUCACCCCACUGAAAGGGUGUGCCAAUGAGUUACCCUUUGCCAGUUGCUUCUGAAAAUUACCAGGUUCAAAUGUAAUGCAUGAUUCUGAGUAAAGUAUUGCGUGACUGUGUUAGCUAGGAAUUCGAAUGACUGAUCCUUUGUCUUUAGUUUUGUCAUAUCUAUUAGUUUGUCCUUGUCUCAUGCAGAAUUGACUUGUUUCCUAGCAAUCAGUUCUCAUUCACAUAUACAUGUACUCAUUUCAAUGACAGCUCCCUUGGCCAUCAUUUAAAUGUCUAGUAUGUAGUAUAUAUAAUGAGCCAUUUCUAUGUUCCAUGACAAGUGUGUAUAUCGUCCAUUAUACAAAAGUAAAAAUGUAAAGAUUAAAAUAAUAUAUUCAUUUUUUCAGGGAUAGUUGGAAAAUCAAAGCCUUGUACGUGAUAGGUCUGUAUGCCUUUGCAUGACCUUCAAGAAUUAUGUAUAGCAUAUAUAGAAUUAUUUUCUUGGUAACAGAAACAUGUAUAUAUGAUGUACGUACAGUACAAUUGUUGUUAAUGUUUCAAGAUGUCUCAACAAAAUGUGUUAUAAGAAAUUUCUCAAAUCUACCCUCCGUGUUUCAAUGUUUUUAGGUAAUAUAAACAAAAGCCAUACUUUGAUUUUUUAUUAAUUUUACAUUUGUAUUUUAAUAGUAGUAUUGUUAAUAUUAUUAUUAUACUUGGGAAGAAACUCAACUAUAAGUUGACAAAAAAUGUUUUUCCUCAAAUCGAACGAAUAGUGGAAUUUAUUGAAAUAGUUCAAUGAUCCUCAGGUUAUCGGUUGUGUUGGCAAUUCUCUUUCAAAGCACUUAAUAUGCAUUCAUUAAAGUGAUUUGAACACUUGCCAUCUAAGCAAUCAGCUGAUUGUGAACUGUGUGUAAAGUCAAGAAAGCCAUUAAAGUUAAUAGGAACACCGAGUUAGGAUUUUAAAUUAAAAGCAGUGUUUUGACAGAAUGCUGAUAAUUUUAUGCUUAUGGACUCAGCAGAACUCAGCUUGAUAUAUGCCAGUAGUGGCGAACUAUGGCACUGCAGAUAUUUUGUUUAGAUUUGCUGGGCAUCACGAGAAAUGCAGAUCAUGAACAUUUGCAGUGCCAAAGGAAGUCAUCACUGAUAUAUGUUUAUUGAAAGAGGUGUCGAGACAAUCCAGGGAAUGUUUAAUAGGAUCAGUUAUGCAAAAAAAGAUGUAAAAUAUUUAUGGGAAAAAAAAUAUUAAGUAUUUUAUAGUAUAGCAUUGGUGAUGUACAUAGUUUGUGUUAUAAUCAAAACCAGCACACGGAAAUUGGCCGUUCUAAUGUGACGGAGUCUUGUACAAUGCCCGCUAGUUGGUUAACUAUAAGAUUGUUUGGAUUAUUCACUAAAGUCAAGUCAAUGCGAAUUAAAUUUGUAUGCCAAUAUAUCAGAAUUUUGGCCACACCAGCUGUUUUCGGUUUGACUAUCUUAGCUCAAAAUUUUAAGUUCUCUUUGAAUUUACUUUGAAUUCUCAACAAUUGACACGUUAGUAAAUAACCAUGUGCCUGUUCUUCAAGAUAUAUUGCAGCUCAGCUAAGAGAGGUUGGGCUAACAGAGCCACUAAGGUUUCCUGAAGGCCUAUAACAUCUUUAUUCUAAUGGCCAGUACACAUAAGUACUGCCUAUCAGUAGGUAGAAUUUUCAUAGUGCACAUGGAAAUUAUCUAACGAACUAUGGCAACUAAUUUUAGAUUCAUUCUUUACCAAUUAAUUAAUUUCUUACAAAUAGUACACACAAUGAACAUACUGCAAUGCCAUUAUAAUAGAUCGUUGUCCAGGAAACCACAAUGGCUCUGUCAGUCUCUUUUUGUUCCUAAAGAAAUCAAUUGCAACUUUAUAGAAGCCAUCAUAUUAAAAGAUGAAAAUUAGUUUCAUCCCAUCUGUCAGCUAACUGCAAUUCACAGGGCUUAUUCGCUAAGUGGCAAUUCAAACUGAAUUUCAUAUUUAAGGUCAAAGUAGCCCAUUUGGAAGCACAGCUGAAUUAGAGAAUAUUUCCAUUUGAUCUAUUUUGACUUUAAAUUUGAAAUUCACUUUGAGUUCUAACUUUAGUCAAUAACCCUGGUAAUAAAUAGACCAUACACAAUCUUAAUUCAAUGGGGGAGAUUUAUCAAGUGUCAGUGACAUUUUUGACCUGUUGCUUUCUUGUUUGUCUGUUACCAUUUUUAGAUAUUUGCCAUAUUUUGGCAACACAUCAGGAGUAUCGUUUUUUUCAGUUACCUUUUCGUUUCUCUUUUUUUCUUGUACUGAAAUGAAUCUUUCUGUGUAAACCAGCAGACUUUAUUAUAAAGUAAACUGUCACUUUUUCGAUCACUUUAAGAACCCUUCAAAGAUAUACAAUCAAAAUAUUUAUGACAAGUAAAGGAAUACUAUAGUGUUAAGAAUAGUAAGCUGUAUUCCUAACAUUAUAGUGUCCCUCUACACCCGUGGCCCCCCAACAAUGAAGGGGAUAUAAAAUGUUUAAAAACCCUUUAACUCACUUGCCUGUUUUAAGCACCAAGGUCCCCCGGCACUGGCUCUUUCCCACCUCUUUCAACGUCAUUGUGAGGGGGACCCUAACAAACAUAUUGAAUCUAUGCUCUUCUUUGAGGUUUUGCAAGACGUUGGACGUUCUCAUGCAAAGCGUGAGGCUGUCCAGCAUCAUUUCACUGAGUUAAACUGCUUGAAACAGCAGGCAGCGCCUCUAUUGG
This 3449-nucleotide long non-coding RNA is filed under the name Pelobates cultripes (western spadefoot toad). Lineage: Eukaryota; Metazoa; Chordata; Amphibia; Anura; Pelobatidae. The record is from RNAcentral.